CAGCAGCCGCGGGAAAACGUAGGGCGCAAGCGUUAUCCGGAGUUAUUGGGCGUAAAGAGCUCGUAGGCGGUUUGUCGCGUCUGCUGCGAAAUCCCGAGGCUCAACCUCGGGCCUGCAGUGGGUACGGGCAGACUAGAGUGCGGUAGGGGAGAUUGGAAUUCCUGGUGUAGCGGUGGAAUGCGCAGAUAUCAGGAGGAACACCGAUGGCGAAGGCAGAUCUCUGGGCCGUAACUGAGGCUGAGGAGCGAAAGGGUGGGGAGCAAACAGGCUUAGAGACCCCCGUAGUCCCUGUCUCUUAUAC
This 301-nucleotide ribosomal RNA is filed under the name uncultured bacterium. Its description in RNAcentral is "partial 16S ribosomal RNA". It matches the Rfam family "Bacterial small subunit ribosomal RNA", at positions 509 to 807 of the family's 1533-position model. The record is from RNAcentral.